This 208-nucleotide unclassified non-coding RNA is filed under the name uncultured fungus. RNAcentral's name for it is "sequence contains ITS2". Lineage: Eukaryota; Fungi. The record is from RNAcentral.
AAGUCUCAAGCAACAUAGCUUCAUUGCUAUGUUUGUUUGGAUCUGGACUUUGCUGCGUCAAUGUGGCUCGUCUUAAAUACAUUAGCUGGUCCUUUUGAGGGCUUGGUUCUACUCGACGUGAUAAUUAUCUAACGUUGAGGACAGUUUCAGGACUGGCCAAGUGUCUUUUUGGAUUGCUUCUAAUCGUCUGUUGGACAAUUUAUCAAAU